UCCCUCUUCCUCAUCUCUCGCCCCCUCUGCCCUUCUCCUCGCCGCGCCUUGCCGCGGCCAUCUCCCUUCUCCGGUGACUCCCGCCGCCUUGUCAGUGCCUACCAUUCCUCUCAUCUCUCCCUCUUCUGGUCGACGGCAGCUGCCACCAUCGCCGCCUCCGCGUUGACAGCAGCACAGCCCAGCCGCCGCCUCCCCUUUUCUAGAUCUGGUGUCGCCCAACC
This 221-nucleotide long non-coding RNA is filed under the name Salvia miltiorrhiza (redroot sage). Its description in RNAcentral is "long non-coding RNA (SMIL_LNC000021)". Lineage: Eukaryota; Viridiplantae; Streptophyta; Magnoliopsida; Lamiales; Lamiaceae. The record is from RNAcentral.